RNAcentral lists this transfer RNA (71 nucleotides) under Bacteroidota bacterium. RNAcentral's name for it is "Bacteroidetes bacterium tRNA-Lys". It matches the Rfam family "tRNA". From Rfam's summary of the family: Transfer RNA (tRNA) molecules are approximately 80 nucleotides in length. The record is from RNAcentral. Lineage: Bacteria; Pseudomonadati; Bacteroidota.
GGACCGUUAGCAAAUUGGCCUUGCAACAGACUCUUAAUCUGAAAAGGUGGGUUCAAUUCCCACACGGUUCA